RNAcentral lists this long non-coding RNA (15556 nucleotides) under Heterocephalus glaber (naked mole-rat). Its description in RNAcentral is "lncRNA (ENSHGLG00100041902.1)". The record is from RNAcentral. Lineage: Eukaryota; Metazoa; Chordata; Mammalia; Rodentia; Bathyergidae.
AAGAAGACAUAAAAGGACGCAGCACUCACCCCUGCUGCUGCUGUCCUCUUGCUCUUCCUAUGGUUUAUGCUGCGUGCAGGACAUCUCUUCUCUAUACCUUCUCUUUUUCCUUCAAAGCUCCCUUUUCUCCCUGAGCACUUUUGUACUUUCCUUUUUUUAAACAACAGAAAAACAUUUCUGUCCUAAAAUAAUUGGUAACCUUUCACAUCCGUCAAAUUUCUUGACCAAUUCAUAGCAGGGGACAAAUAGCCUGGAAGACACUGCUGGUCUCUAGCCCAUUCGAUAGCAAGCAGACACCCUCUGACUGAGGACUGUGAGCCCUGCACGCACCAAGAUAGUCCCUCGGCAUCACCAAGGCUGUAGGGCUCGGUCUAUGAGAUGGGCUUAAAAGCAGUGUGCAGCCUGGGGUGAAGACCACUUGGGAGGGAGAAGGGGGGGGGAGGAAGAAAAUGGGGGGGGUGGGUAAAUGGGAGGGAAGAAGGGGAGCGCUCACGCUGAGUCCAUGCUUGUCCCGCACUCUGCUCUUCACAGUGGCCCCCUUUGGCCCCCCAGCACCCAUGAAGUUGUCCCCCCAAAGUGUAAUUCAACAGGAGCCCCCUUGGCAAAACUCAGCAGUCCUGUGGCUAAACACUGUAUCCCAUUCGCUCUGUGCUCUCAGCACGCACCCUGCCUUCACCCCUUCCUGGAGUCCUUCCCUCCCUUGGCCUGGGCUUGGGGGCAGGGAGGGGUCAGGAUUAUGUGCCUGGUCUUUCCCAGAAACCAUUUGAUAAUUUUUUUACAGCUGAGAUAUUUUUGAGCAGGUUUUGAUUUUUAUUAGAUCUUUUUGAUAACAAAAAAUAGGUGUUUCUUAUAACAAAUGAAACAAUGUAACUAUAAAUGAAAAACAAUAGUUCUUCCCCCAAUCCUGCCUCACAUGAUUAACAAUGGCCUGGUUAUUCCUUCAGUCAUUCAAAUAUAUAUGUAAUAUCACUACAUAUAUAUAUGUAGUGUGAUCACAAUAUAUGGCAUGUGUUUUGGAUACACAAGCUUAAAUAUCACAUAGUUACUCUUAUAUGAGAAACCCAAAACAUACAGAACAAUAUGAUAGGAGGGAGAUAGAUGUUCUGCAAAUGAGAAGGGGGACCAAGCAAUGUGAGGAGGGAAGAUUAAAAAAAAAAUUAAGAUGUGUUGUGUACGUGUCCCAACUCUACGUGGGGAAUGUGACCAUUAGGUACUGCAAACAUGUAUUAGUAAAAGGUUAAAAAACACUUACAGAAAAAUACCACCCCCCAGCUUUGAACACUUAUCAUUCUUGCCACUUUCUGAAGUGGUUCUGGAAGUCCUCUUUCCCGAGUGACUUUAUCAGGUGUGAUUAAAAAAAAAUAGUGUGGGGCCGGGGAUUUAGCUCAGUGGUUCCAGCUCCUGCUUUGCAAGUACAAGGUCAUGAGUUUGAUCCCCAGUGCCCCCCCAAAAAACUCAAUGAAUGCUGGUGCUGAAUGCUAUCCAACAGAAAGAUAGGCUCACAAAAAAUACAUUAUGCUGUGUCCUCACCCAUCUUCUUCACUAGAUCUGGCACUGUGCAGCUUCUGGCUCUUUUCUAAAGUCAAAAUGACCAUGAAAGGAAAACGUUUUGAAAAAGAUUCAGGAUGUGGAAGCAGCCACAACAGCCAACUAAAGACACCCAGGAAAGAGGACUUCAGACCUGCUUCAGAACAGUAGGACAAGUGUGUUUGAAGCAAAGUGACAUAUUGUGAGGGGGAUUAAUAGCAAUAUGUCUUUGCUGUAAUGCUUUUUAAAAUUUGCAUAUUAGCCACAUUUUUUGAUCACACUGCAUGUACUUUUUUGGUACCAGGGAUUGAACUUGGGACCUUUUGAGGCAGGCAACGGCACCACUGAGCUAAGUCCCCAGCCCCACACUGCACAUCUUAAAGCUAACGUUUUCUUUUAAUGUCAUGGAAUUUAGUAUAGAUGCCAAAAUCUCCAGAGUGGCUACCAAAAUGCCAAGCAUAACUGUCACGUUCCCCACGACCAAUCCCAUCUGCAGAUGGAGGGACCAGGCGGUGGUGGAGCUGGGGCCCCAAAGCACACUGGCUGGUCACACUUGUGCCUGCUGCCCUGCCCUCCUCCUAGGGGCAGACUCUGGGGCUGGCCUGAAGAAGGGCUGGAGAAAAUGAUUCUUAUUCUCUGGCAGGUAUAUUUUCCCCAAGCACCUGGAUUUUAAAGGGGCAGAUGCUGCCUUUUUGAAGCAUGAGACAAAGAUCAAGUAGAUGAAUCUCAGGGGUGGUUUCCUGCUUUCCAUUUCCUUUGAAGUUACUGGGAAUAAUGGGGUUAGGAUCUGUGGGUUAGGGUAUGGGGAAGCCCCCCAGGUUGAGGCACUGAGGCCUGGGGUGGAGCCACAGAGAGGGGCCUGGCCCAGCUUUGGGGCCUCUUCACAUUGGACAUUUCCCCCUCAGGCUCCUGCCAAAGCCCUGAUUUUUUGUUUUACUUUCCCCCCUCCUUGCUCUUUAUUUCUGAAAUUUCUAUUUGAAGCUAAGAGAUUUCUUCCAUCUAAACUCAAGACAGCUACAGUAAGCCAGGAUUAACUCUCCCUUCAACCUUUGAGAAAUGGUCUCAGGAUAGGGGCAAGGAUGUUUAGUUUGCCAGGGAGUAAUAAGCAUCUGAGGUUACUCAUCAGUCCCUUAGGUGAAAACCCAGGAGGCUGCCAGAACCAGCCAGCACCUCCUGUCCUGGCCCUCAGGUUGCUCAUGGCUCAAAUGAUAGUGUUUUCUUUGCCCCUCAAGGUCUGACAGGCAUUGCUUGUCUUCUAUUUCCUAGUUGCAAGGUAUUUUUUUCAAUUUGGAACAUGUGUUCUAAUUUGAAAACGAAUGAGUUUUCUUCAGUAAAACUUGCCACCUUUCAAAGAGGUUUGCUCUAACCCAAGCUUAGACACUAGUGGCCAGAGCCAGAGGUUUGGGUGGAGAUGGGCCUGCUGGCUGUGUGCCCCCACUUUGGACUCCACCAUCUUUGGGCCCACCAUGGCCUGGUUAUGACACACACAUGGCCUUGCCCACCACGGAUCUGGAGCCACUUCUGCCAAAGACUGGAGGAAUAAGAAAAGCCAGUCCAGCCUGUUGGAUCAGUAACACAGAUAAGCAAGAGUAAGAAAGCUGUCCGUUCCUGAGUAAAAACACCAAAGCUCCACAACCCCCUGUACCUUCACAACACUGCAGAGUAAGCCAUGGCCCCCAAUUGUACCCCGAGGAUGCUGCUGCCCUAGGUAGCAACACUGCCAGCAGCCUCUACCCAAGGUAGAAAUGACUGUCAUCUACUCGUUUCAGGAGAGCAACGGGGUCCCCCAAGAAAUUAAGGUCUUUUUCAAAAUAGCAUUCUGGGGUCCCUUUUUGAACCUCUGUAGCUGUCAAUUCUACAUGGCUCUGCGGGGCUGGGAUGAAGCCCGGUGGGAUUAAGGAGACUUGGAGAUGUUUUAGAAUAAGCAGCUUCCGACUAUUAGUAACUUCACACCUACGGCUAAGGCUCAACCCUCCCUGCCCCCUUUCUUAGCCCAAAAGGACAUGAUCAUUCUGUUGUGGGUGUGAAGCAGCAGGUGCACCCAUCUGUGCUUCUACACAGAAUAGGACCACACACCCUCUCCAUCCCCACCAAGCCCCCGAAGGAAGUGUAUGACUCAUGGAUGCCUAUAGAAGUGUUAUCAGCCUGCGCACACAUGUGUGUGCCUGUACAUGUGUAUGUGUGUCUACAAACACAUGUAGAUGCAUAUCCUCUCUUCCUACUGAUUCUGCUCCACAAAUUUUUGCCAAAUCUGAUAACCAUGCUUUUUCAGUUCUGUCCCAUCCAGGUCUUCAGGUACAUGACUUUCAAAAAUCAUAAGAACAAAAGUCAACUUAUUUAACCUCGACAGUUAUAGGCUAGAGAGCCACUGUUUCCAGCUGUCCUUGUUGGCCCAGACCUCUCCAGGGUAUCCCCCUCCCAGAGUUCCCCAGAACCACACCGUCAACCAGCACGCACGGCAGGACAGCCAGCUCCCAGGGUUCCUUCUGGGUUGUGUUAUAAAGUCUGGCAGAGACAUCAACACAUGUCAACAUGUUCCUUUUGGUGACAUGUUUGUCUUUUCCUUGUUAGCUUUGGUUCAAGGCUGUAAAUCCAUAAGAGGAAGCGGUUUCCAAGCCUAAGCAAAAAGUGAGCAGAUGCACUUCAUGGACUUUGGGGUUUCUCUGUGCAGAUCUUCCCCUCCAUCACUUACCUCCCCAUUAUUUUUCUUAGAAAUCCAAAUAAAAAGGAUAUUUGGUGAUCAAAGUGAAUUCAACAGGCAGGGCAUGAAUGGAUACAAACCACCAAGCUCCCAGUGAGCUAUGUCUAUGGUCAGAUGUUGAUGAGAUCCAUCCUGGUCCCCAUAUUUGUUGCCUCUGAAGGGAUUGGAUCCUUCUCUCUGCUUUUUCAUCUGAGCCUCUGCAGUUCUCUUGUUCUUUGCUCUGUUCUGUCUCUGCUCUGGUUUGAACCCUGCUAUGUCAGCUCUCUUGUCUCCUUUUUAUUAUUCAAACCGUCUUUGAGCUGUUGGCAUUAGUUCUGCAGGGUGCCUGGGAGGGAAUUCUGAAAGCUCCAAAAUGGUCCCCCUCUACCUCCAGUGGAAGAGGAGGACCCAGGAAACCCAGCAAAACAAGUCCGGUUUUAUUGGUUCUUCCUCUGAGUAAAAAACUGCUCAAGUUUUGAACAAAUUCGUAUACAGCAUAAACACUUAUCCAGAGUUAAAUCUAAAUCCAUCCAGGCAGUUUCAUGUUGACAAAAGGUAAGGAUUUACCAUGUUAGGGUAUCCAAAAGAAUUUGCCAUAGACUCUGAAGAAAUUUAAAGCAGAAGACUGCACAUGGCAGGGAAGAGCAUGUGACACAGGUGACCAGGUUCUGACCCACAACUGAUUCUGGGCACCUGUGAACAAGUUACUACAUCACUGUAAGUUUCAGUUUCCUCAUCUAUAAAAUUGGGGUAGGGUUUAAUCUUCAAUUUCUAUGGAUUCCAAAAAUGUUUUCCAUAAAUAAUAUUAAAAUAAGUAAGAAUCGGUCUUCUCCCAAGGCACUUAUUCUGAGAGAAAAAGACAUAUUUAUUGGGAUACACAUCUCCUGGUUUUUUAUUUUCUAAAAAAGAUUUUCAUUACUUUAUAGUCACACCUCAUAUAUUCCAGCUUCUGUUAGAAGCCUUUUAUGACUCUGUCAUUCAUAAAUUUGUCCGAACUCUUUUUAAUCCAUUUACAUUUCCUGUCUGCACAGCCUCUCAAGGUAAUGAGUUCCAUAACUUUAUUACGUGCUAGGAGAGAAGUAUUAUUUCCUUGUUUUCCCUAAACUUACCUCAAGUUCCAAACUGCCUGCUUCCCCUAGGAUUUCAGAAUUGGAUGACCAAGUUCAUCCAUAAAGUUCUCCUUAUAAACUGAAGGUAAAAUCAUUUUAGGUGGCUUCGUAAAGUGGCAGCCCACCCCAUACCUUCCCCUGACUAUUCGAGUCAUAUGACAAAUAGUUCAUACCAUGAACGGAGCUGUGGAUGGUGUAGAGAUGCCCUGGUUCCAAAUGACCAUGAGUCAGAAGAGCCUCAAAGUCUGAAGCACAGGCUGCAGAGCAGACCGAUCAGGCAUCCAUUCCAGCCCCUGACUGUGUGGUGCCCUGGACCUGCACUCCCUCAUUUGGAAGAUGGAAAACACUACCUACCUCAGGACUUGCUGGUCUUAAGAGAAUCCAAAAACAGUGCAGAAGAGGCCUUACCCACCCACCUUUGGCCCUGAUGGUGAGAGACAUGCUCCAAAGAACAGGAAGGAAACCAUCACUUUCACAACUGACUUUGUGUAGCUCCCAGCAAGGACAUCAGAAGAGGUGACCCACAUUGCAAGAAUGAAAUGGAGGAGCCAGCCUGCCAGGGGACGCCACUCACCUGUCACCAGAUCCUAUGCUCUUGUGACACCUGUUUUCCCUAGAAAUAAUUCCUACCAUUGGUGAAGCUCCUCAAGUUCCCAUGGCCUAGGGCAGGACCUGUACCAUGUGCCAAAUUCUGUGCUGCUGCUUCUGCGAAGGACACAAGAACAGCACAUGCUUGGGGAUUGCCCUUCCUGGAGGAGAUGGCACAGGAGCAGCUGGAUAGGACAGUGAAGGGCCUGCAGUGUGGCUGGAGCUCUGUGUGUGUUCCCCAGGGUGGAUGGGGAACCCCAGGAACUGGAAACAGGCCAGGAGAAGAGAUGACACUCAGAGAUAUGACUUAAGUAUAAGGCUGUGACAAAAUGAGAAACUGGAGCCAGGGAUUUAUCUCAGUGGUUCCACUGCCUGCCUCGCAAGCACAAGGUCCCGAGUUAGAUCCCUGGUACCAAAAAACCAAAAACAAACCAAAAAAAUGAACCGAAUAGAACCUCUUAGAAGGAGUAAAAAUAGCCGAAAGAGUUCAACGUAUCUGGCCAUUAGAGGGAAUACAAAUUAAAAUAAUAUUGAUAUUCCAUCUUGCCCCAGAAAGAAUGGCCAUCAUCAAUAAAUCAAUAACAAAUGCUGAUGGGGGGUGGUGGUAAAGGAAUUCUUCCUACACUGUUGGUGAGAAUGUAAACUGGUACAACCACUAAUGGAAGUCAGCAUGGAGAUUCCUCAAAAAACUGAAACUUGAAAUUCCAUUCCACUCAGUUAUUUCCCUUCUAAGCAUCUUCCAGAGAGAGUCAUCAUACUACAGUGAUAUAUACACACCCAUGAUUACAGCACCAUAGCUCACAGUAGCUAAAUCUUGGAAGCAGCCUAUAUGUUCAUCAACAGAUGAAUGGGCUGAAAUUUUACUGGAGCUUCCUUUCUGGGCUAACAUUUUAAGUCAUUCUGCUGGGCUCUUUGCUCUUGAUUCUCAACGUAAAUUGGGCUAAAAACCCCCAACAGUAGCCAUGCCACAGCCUCAUUAGACUGCCGUGAAAUUUCUUCUGCCAGAUUAGUUAGUCCGCCACCCUAAAUCUGUUUCAGGCAAAGUCUCUGGACAACAGAAAAAUGCAGACAAACCUUCUCCCAAGGCAUAACCCACAUCAUCUGGAGUGCCUUCUUCCCAGCAGAAACCUCCUAAGCCUGUUUCUAUCCGAAUUCUGGUCUUCUGAGCUCUGGCCAGAAUCUCCCAUCAAGUACAGCCUCAGGCAUUCCAGCUCUGUUUUCAGCCAUCUGCAAACCUUUCCUAACUCUUCCCCUUCCCACAAGCCAGCUCCAAAGGCUCCUAAACCACAUGGUCAAGUAUAGCCACAGCAAUGGCCCCACACACUGGAGACCGAAGGAUUCAGUCAAAGAUCUGGAGUUCACUGCAGUGUCCCAUUGAAGUCAGUAUUAGGAAGCCAGUUGGUCUUCGAUGGAAGGCAGAAGAAUAUACACCAGAAGGCUGAAGGCUCUGCACCAGACCCUAAAGAGUCUGACCUGGAAGCCAGGAGAUAACAUCCAAGGUGAAGAUGAAGACUAGAGCUCCUCUGAAGAAACAGAAGCAAAUCCAUCCCUCGUCAUUUCUCCUUUAUACCAUCCAGGCAACAAGUCCCCCUAGGGUAUGAAAUUGCUGAGGCAAUUUAGUUGAGCUUCUCUUACUCAAGUUGACACAGAGAGCAAAAUAGAGAGAGAGGUCCUUUGGCCCUUCUCCAUUGUGGAAAGUUAAGUUACACAGAUGUCAGGGCAGGCAGUCAGAAAUGGGAGAAGGCAAUGACCUGAGAGGCCAGGGACAAGUGCAGCAGUGGGUGCCUGUCAACACCAGUCCUGACAACCUCUUUGCAAACCAUUUCCUACCAAAGCAUCUGUUCCCGUCACUGUCUAAAACAUUCCAAUGAAUCCCAUUCCUCUCAGGGGACAGGGACAGAAGCCCUUCCUGUGGUUUGUGGUGAAGCCAUUGAGGUCCUCUGUGACAGGCACUGGACCUCCUCAGCACCUCCUCAGCACCUCUGCUCCAGCUGCCUUCUGCAGCAGGAUAACUGCUCUAACACAAGCACCUCUUCUUUCCAGAACAUCCUUUUCCCUCCCCAAUUACUCCCCUUCUUUGUCUCUGCCAGUUCUCAGCAACUCUCCCUUAGAGCAUUCAUCCCAGAAGAAAUUCCUUAUGUUGCAUUUUUUUAUUUGACUUACUGAGCUCUUCCCCAUUGUCCUCUCUAUCCUGAGGGCAAGAACAAGGAGGCCAUCUGGAUUCUGCUUGCAGUCUUAUCUCAAGGCCUGGCUCAGCUGGCUCCGAGAAGCUGCUCAGUAACCCUUUGUUGGGUAAAUAAAUGGAAAAUGAAGAAGCUAAGGAAUGAAGGCAGACUAAGAUUGCUUCUUUCACCCCGCCGUGUCCAAUCCACCUUCAAAAUGAGGGUUCUGCCUAUAUCUGAUCACUUCUCCCCAUCACUGGCCAGGCGUAGGCCACCAUUGACCUCACCAGGAUGACCAUAAGAGCUUCCUCUUGGGCUUCCCUGGAUCCCUAGUUCAUUUCAGACCAGGCAAUGAGAACCCUUUAAUACAAACACCAAACUUGACCCCAUCCAAGUACUCCCUACAACAGAGGACUGGGACAUUUUCUUGCGGCCCGGCCCUUAAGAUGCUUGGCUGUCAUUCCCAACCCAUCUCCUGCCCCAGCUACUCUGGACACCGUGCUGCUGCUCCACACCCACCGCUGCCUUGUCUCAGGGACCCAAUAUGCCUGCCCGGAAUAUAUUUCCUCAGUUGCUGCCUUCCCUCUUCAGGGUCUCUGCUCAAUAGCUACCUUCUCCAAAAGCUGCUCCUGGCUAUAUCUGAGCUAACAUGCCCUGUCCUACCCCCAGUGCUUUGUCACCUACAGCUUUACUUUACCCCAUAGGGACUGUGACUUUUUACAUAUUACAUGUGUCCUGUCUUGUAUCUCCAAGAAGCUUAGAAAGCCCCACAAAGCAAACGUCUAUUGUUCUACACUAUAUUUGGAGCCAGAAAAGAGGCACAUGACAGUUGUUGAGUAAUUGUUUGCUUGCAGAUUGAAUAACUGGCAGGAGAGAGCGUGCACUGUGCGUUGUUGCCUGUCAUACAGUAGUUGCUUAACAAACUAUUAACUAACAGUGCUAUUACAUUUCCAAAGAUGCAUCAUCAUUAAAACCAUGGCAAAAUGAUUAGUUGUGUGGAUUAAUUUCUAAAUAUUUGGGAAUUUUUCUAGUCCUCUUUAAAUAAUUCAAAUUGAAUUCCACAGUAGUCAGAAUGCAUACUCUAUUAGUUCAGUCCUGCCUUACAGAGCAGCCACUGAGCAAGAGUAUGGCGAUGGAAGGUAAAGCAAGGAUAGGCUGAUUGGGACUGGCAUUUUUGAUCUCCAGUUUUCAAGACUGAUUAUUUUCCCAUUAGAUCUUAUUGGGGGGGGAGGGAUACAGGUAAUACAUAUGUUGACUUGAUUCUGUUAAAGUACCCGCAUCCUAUAUCUUACAUGAAGUAAAAUAUUAACUCAAGUGAAAGAUUGGGUGUGUAAUCUCUAGACCAGUCACAAGAUAUAGAUUGGGUGUGUAAUCUCUAGACCAGUCACAAGAUAUAGCCAAAAAGUGAAUAGAUAAAUUAUUCAAAUAAUCCAAAACAAGGCAGGAAUGUAAGGGAGAAAAACCGAGGGAAAAACAAAACAUAAUAAAAUGGUAGACCUAAAUCCAAGCAUAUUAACAGUUCCAUUAAAUAUAAAUUGCCUAUACAUAACAGUUAAGACAGAUUCACGAGAUACAUGAUCUGUAUCUCAGUGACAAUCCUCGUGUGGUGACUACUGAGGAGUCUGGGGACAAUGGUUUGCUGGGGGCAUGUGUUCCAAAUAGAGGAAAAAGAGGGGAACAGAUUGGUCCAGAAAGAGUUUAAUGCAGAGGCUUAUUAUUCUUGUGUGGAAAAUUGACUCAUAGUCACCAAAUGUUGACCAACUUUAGUUGUUUUGCCAGAUGACCACCUGCUGGAUUGGGUGGUACACUGCCAUUUCCCCCCUCUCUCUAGGCAUGAAUACCCUGGGACUUGCAUAGCUGCAUGUUGGAGGCCGAGGGAAGUCCUAACCGCUAAGCACCUAAGUCUAGGAGUUAGCCUCAUUUAGCUCAGGUUUUGCCUCUGCACCAGGAUGGGAAACUUCCUACAGUUACUUAACCCUCUGCUUUUGGGACUUCCAUUCUUUGCCCAGAGAAAUCUCACCUUCACUUCUGGUGCUGGUGCUGUUGCUGUUGCCCUGGCAACUGCCAUAAGAAGAACUGGGCUUUGUUUAGAGGCAUGAUAGGAUCUCACCUACCAGAAACUCUCACUAGCUGACCAAAGCUAACGCCCAUGGUUUCUAGAGAAAUACAUAUCAUGAUGGAUGUGCUUUCUACACAGUCCAAUGAAGACAUUCAUUGUACUUAAUGGUCCUAUAUAUCAGGCUCGGUGUAAUGUUCCAAAAUAUUUUAGCACCACGGAAAAGCUUUAAUUCUUUAGAGACAUCAUAUUUCCCUUUAGGCUAAGGCUGCUGGGAACAUUUGAGUGAACCUUGGUUAUCAAAGGAUUUUACUCUGUCUUGGGCAUCUCUCAUUCAUAUUUUUCUUAAUUUUCUGACUCCUUUUAUUGCAUGACAAAACUGCAAGUUCAGUGCUCCACGUUCCAGGGUAUGUUGCAUAAGAAAAAAGCUGUCACUAAGAAAGUUCACUGAAUGCAUAGAGGAUGUUAUCCAUAAUGGAAAUUUAUCGAAACGUGUAUAAAUAAUAUAUAACUAGAACACUACUCAACUUGUGAUUAGACUGAUCCCAGCUCAUCUACUCAGAAAUGAUCCAGAGGAAGAAGAAAAACACAAAGAGGGCAAAAGAGACACAAAGACAAAUCUGCUUGACUACCACACAGGGAUGUCUAGGACCAUGGCAAAGUAUCCUAAGGCCCCAGAACAUGUGAGAAAAAUCAGACACCUGCUGAAUGCCUGGCAGUGUUCUGUAGCAUAAUGGUGGAGAUAACCAGAGGACACAGUUCCUUCAUAGAGGAACUUAUGAUGCAAUGGCUCCAAAGACGCAGCUUCUCCUCCCCACCUUAUAUUAUUGCCAAUGCUUAGCCCUUAGGAGAAGUUGGAUGUGGAAUGCAGGGAGCAGGCACUGAUGGUUCCUCACAUCAUCAGGGUUAACACAGCACAGCCAACUAUUCACCAUCAUUCUAUCACACCAAUGGAGAGAGACCAGGAAGGGGCACUGUGAUAUAAGAAGCUCAACUUGCCUUAGCAAUUCCACACCCUAAGGUUGGAAGACCCAACCUUGGGUGACUUGUUGCCUGGAUGGUGUAAAGGGCAAAUGAAAAAGGAUGGAUCUGCUUCUGUUUCUUCAGAGGAGCUCUAGUCUUCACCUUCACCUUGGACAUCAUCUCCUGGCUUCCAGUGCUGAUUCUUCAGCUUCUGGUGCAGAGCCUUCAGCCUUCCACUGCAGACCCAUCGACCUCCGGAUUCAGACUCACACAGAACACUGCAGUGAGCUCCAGACCUUCGACUGAAUCCUUCGGUCUCCAGUGUGCAGACAGACCCCCUGCACUCUUCCACAUCCGACUCUGUGGGUGGUCAUUGUAAGCCGAUCUUGCAAAUUCUUAAAUAUUUGUAUAUCUUGUGUUAUAUCUGUUUCACUAGUAAACACUGACUGAUACAAAUUUUGGUACUGGGAGUGGCACUAGAAAAACAGAAUUGUAAAGAUGAAAUUCUUUAAUGGCUUUAGGGGUUCCUGGAGUUGGUGCUCUAAUUUGAUGACACCUAAAGACGCCAUGGUCUCCUAAUUCUAUGGGGAACACUGACAGUCCUUGAUGUAAACUGUUUAAAGUAAUAUGCAGUGAAGUUCCAUUGGAUUAUCCUGAUUUGAGUAGGAUUUGAUUACCACUUUUAGCAACUCCAUUUUUGGCAGAGUGGGAAACAUAAUGAUGCUGGCUGGUUGGUCUUACCAUCUCUGGACAAACUAGUGAAGGAAAGCAGUGACUUCAAAACAUCCAUAGGAAAUCUAAAUUCUUUUGACUGGGACAAAUUAAAAAUAAAGGAGUCCAAAGAUUUAAAUUUCUUAUGUGUCUGACGCUGGGAAUUUAAAAGUUUCUAAUCGUGUCCUGAAAGAAAAUCCCCUCUCUUUUUUAGCUGCAGGGCUGAGAUUCCAGAAACUCAAACACAGGCCCUCAUAAUUCAAUUGGCUGAACUGCAGUGUAAGUUUAAUGCUCAGCUUCAAAGGGCAUCUGAAGCAAAGGUGAGGGCACUGAUUGGAAAAUAAUGGGAUCCCAUAAAAUGAGACCCAGAGAUGUUUGAGAGGAAUCCUGAUGAAGCUGAGGAUGUUGUGUUUCUAGAGGCUAAUGAGAUUAUUUUGCAAGAGAAAAAGAUUUACCCACUGACAGUGGUGGAGGCACCCCUACCCCUUGUGGUGCUGGCCUCUCCUAGUAUACCUGAGGACACUAAGCCUGUGUUGACCAAGCAUGAUAAUGCCAACGCUCCUCAGAACCCACCUUCGCCACCCACGUUUGCCUCUAGUCCUGUAAUCAGGCUCAAGUCAGAAGGGUCCUAAGGGUGAGGUCCAUAGUGUGACCCAUGAGGGAGGAUGUCUGCUGUUCUCCCAAAGAACUUCUUGAGUUUUCUAACUCUUAUAACCAGAGGCCUCCUGAACAAGUUACAGGUGUAGGAUAAUGGUGGCAAAACUAUACACUUGGACCAGGCUGAGUUUGUUGAUAUGGCCCGGUCAAGCAGGGAUCCUGAAUUUAAUCUUGUGGCUCGUGGAGUAAAGAAAGGUGUUAGUAGUGUAUUUGGCUUGCUGGCGGAAAUAUAGAUCAAAAGGUGGCCCACUGUGAAUGAGUUAGAGAUGCCCGAUAUGCCAUGGUUUUCUGUUGAUGAGGGGAUUCCAGAGGCUCAGGGAAAUGAGAAUGCUGGAGUGGUUCUGUCAUGUUAAACCCAAUCCUCCACACUGGGGUGAUCCAGAAAAUGUACCCUUCACUAACAUCUUGAGAAACAGAUUUGUGAGGAGAGCACUGGCACCCCUGAAGAGCCCUGUCAUUGCUCUUCUCUGCGUGCCAGGCCUUACAGUGGGGACCGAGGUUACUCAAUUGGGACAUUUAAGGGCAAUGGCUUGACUGGAUCCUGGAGUGAGAGAGGGCCAAGUGGCAGCACUUAAUCACCGAAGGCAGCAAUAGACAACAGAAGCAGAACGAUGUCCAGAAUGGUCUGACACGUCUAGACGUAUGGCAUUGGCUGAUCAACCAUGUGUUCCCAAUUUACUAGAUUUAUAUAAUUGAAAAAAUUAAAGGGCAAAUGAACACAAACCUACUUCAAGUCAUGGUAACAAGGAAUUAUGACCCCUCAACCAGUUCCCAAAUUUGAGCCAGUUUAUGCCCUCUUUGAGAAAUGUCCAAAAAUGGGAUGAAUAAGAGAGCCCAAAGUCCUAGAUCUUAUCCUUUGAAACCUUCAAUUCUACAGUAAGGGCAUCAUUUGGUCAUGGAACCGAGGACAAAUGACCUUCAGAGAUGACUGAAUAUCUGCUUUUACCAAUGGGAAAUCCUCACGGGCAUUGUGAGCAUCAUUUGUUACACAGAAUCAUGGACAGGGAAGGAAGACACUUUGCCCUGAGUUAAAGGUUGUACAUUUUCUGGCACUUUAAAUAUUCUGGCCUCCCACGAAACAUGUCAAGCACAUGAAAGCAGUCUGAACCCCCUCUGCUGCCUUGGCUUCAAAUGAUUGCAGAUCUUUGCCAAAGACCGGCUCUCGACCACUCUCAACCUGCUGAUCACACCCUGGCUCUGCUCUCACAAGCUUAACUCCUGCUUUUGGUUCUGUGAUUGCUGUUUCCGACUUAGAGGAAGCAUCCUGGCUCAUAGAUCUCCUGGCUAGACCCACCCUCUCUCUUCAACCCUCCCUUCCUUCCCCUGGGCCUGUCACCGAGGAGGGGACUGGCUGAGAGUUGGCACUCCUCGUUGUCCUCUGAUGCUAUGUUCCCUCCUCCCCCACGAUGGCAGCAACUUAGCACAAAGAAAAGGAGCAAGUUAAUAUUUCCCACAAUCUGGGGGAGAAGGAAGGGUCUUUCUAGUUUGAUAAUGUUUGGAAACACUAGUUUUCAAGGUGUAAAUCAAUACAUCAUUAUUUAAUGACAGUCUAGAAUGGAGAAAGAUAAAUGACAUAAAAACCCUUAGAAUUUACUAUCUUGCUGCUAUUGUUACCACUGAUUAUUAAAGUUUUCAAAAAUCACAUCACAGGAUCUUACAAUCUUAAAAGAAUAAAAGUCCAGAGAUAAUGUAAUCUUCAUAAAUUAUUUUCAAGAGCCAUCCAAUUGUGUUAAGCUUUUGCAAAGUGCAUUAAAAUUCUAAUUCUUUCGAAAUGAAUUUGGAACAUUUACGAUGAACACACCAUAUUAUUUUGGUUGAUUUGGUCUACCUGUGAAAAAGCAAAGUAGUCCAGCCACUGAUUUAGAAUUAUGUGGAUGCCACCAGAAAAGUAAUCAAACUGAUAAUUUAAGGUUAUAAGAAUACCCUAAGAAAAGUAAUCAGCAACAUUGUCCACUUUUCAAUGAUUACACAAACACAAUUCUAUUAAGUCCAUCAACCAAAAAGGAAAAAAAAAUCUUUAUAUCUCUCUUCUCCAUUGUACUGGAAGGCUGGUAAAAAGAACCUCAGAAGAGAAAAGAAACAGCUAUUAAAAAGUUGAAUUCCUGUCUACACAGGGCCAAAACAUCUAGUGGCCCAGCUGUUUGGCACUGCAUAGACAAAGCAUCCAGAUGACUGGCUGAACGUGUGAAAAAAUUGCUGAAGUGGACCAGAUGUUUUGCUUCUCAGGGCUUUUGGGCCCCGUGGUCCUUGGAGACAUCAAGAGAAAGCACAUGUCCCCAUGGGACCUAUGACACCUGUGUAGUCCCUGGAGACCACAGUGGGGUCUCCAUUGCAAACCUCAAGGCCUACCAUAGGGAAAUCUAUGGGCAGGCACUGAGGGACACGAUGUGCUCUUUGAGCUCCCUGCUGUGGGAAGUCACUGAGUCACAUCUAUCUUGAGGCACUGUGGUUGAAUUUCCAAACAUUUCCCCUCGGGACUUUCUCUUGCAACCCAAGCUCCAGGCUCUCCUUUCCCAGCCCCAGUGCUGUGGGCUUUUUAUAGCCAACAGUCAAAGCUGAAAUCUAGAACUCUAUUUUUCUCCAUGUACCCCUUACCUACCCCUUUCUGUGUGUGCAAAGUGGGAAAGGGAAAAUCAGAAUCCUGCCCAGUGUCCUUCCACAACCGCCCCAAAGCCCAGCACUAGACACAACAAAACCAAGUGAGAAGGGACAUCCAGCCCCACAGGGCACAGACACCACGGGGCUGGAGCACACAGGGUUAGCAGCACUGGGAGGUGACUUGACAGGGUGGGUCAGAACCACAGAAUCGGGGGAGUCCAGUCCCACACAUUUCUUUGAAACGGUGUCUUAAGGAAACUGAGGCCAGCGGGCAGGGAGACCUCUCCCCAUCGUGUGAUUACUCAGCUCCCAACUGCAUCCCCCAAACAGCCUGGGCUUCCAGCAGAAAGCUGUGCUGUGCAAUUACUCUGUUAUAUAACUUUUGUUUUCAGAGAAGGGAUUUGUUUUGUUUCUUUUCUGGAAAGCAAUUUUUAAAGAUUUCCUUUAUGUCAAUGUUUUCGGAGGCCUUCCCUGGGACAGUGUGCUGUUUUUCUAAAAAGAAAAA